Molecule: long non-coding RNA, 2087 nt
Organism: Neoarius graeffei (lesser salmon catfish)
Lineage: Eukaryota; Metazoa; Chordata; Actinopteri; Siluriformes; Ariidae
Exons: 2
Source: RefSeq, a predicted model, not a curated record
GUAUUACGUAGAUGUGCUUAUUAUGUGUCAAUUUGCGCAUGCGGGACACUUUUGGGUCGUUUUCCGUUCAUAUUGGAGAUCGCAUACAAGUCUCAUAUAAUUGGUAAUGUGAACGGCCUAACAAAAAAAUCGGAUUUCACAACAAAUCGGAUAUGGGUCGUUUCAGGUUGCAGUCUGAAUGUAGUGUUUGUCACUGCACAAAUGUACAACGAAAUUUAGUUCGUCACAGGCCGCUGCAUACAUGCGUGCCGCCACUCUUGGGCACUUCAGCCCAAGGCCAUCCCAUAUUAACCUAACCGCGUGUCUUUGGACUGUGUGGGAAACCCAUGCAGACGCGGGGAGAACAUGCAGACUCCACACAGAAAGGCACCUGUCAGCCGCUGGGCUCGAACCCAGAACCUUCUUGCUGUGAGGUGACAGUGCUAACCACUACACCGCCGCGCAACGCCCUAAUGCUUCUUCCUUUUAUUGGGUGCCAUUACUUUUGGAACGGUUAGCUUUAAUCGUCGGUGUAAUCUGCAUAUAAAAUUGCAGGAACUCCUCCUCAACGAUUUCAUAGGAUAGGAUUUUUUUUUUUCAACCUAACCUCAUGCUAAUGGUUUUAUGAAUACAUUUUCGUCGGCAGUUUGAGAAACGAGGCCCCGUCGACGACUUAUUCAAAACGGUUAACAUUUUAAACGAACCAUUCCGAUGACGUUCAGCUUCGGCGCAUUUUAUAUCAUAAACCUGGAGUAAAAAUUGAAGCAACGAUCAUGAUCUGAUAAUUGGUAUAAAUAUUGGCACACAGCUAAGAGCAGAAGAGUUUAAAUAGUGACAGUAUCUCAUCUCACAUCAGCUCCGUGUGUGUGUUGACACAUUUGUGCCAUAUGUGAGCGAUUACUGAAUUAUUUUUAACACUUCUUUCUCGUCAUAUGAAACUAAAAGUGAAACAUUUUCCAUCCAUGAAUUAAAGACUUGAAGUUUAAAAAAAAAUGCUGAAGGAUAUACGAAUGAUGAAGUAGAGGUGUGUACGGGACUCUGGGUCUCUGCUGUUAUCAUUUUUUAGAACUUUUUUUGUUAAAAGGUUAAAUUUGCCUUUUACACUGCUGUGACCUUGAGCAGGAUGAACAGGUUACUGAAAAUGGAUGAAUGAAUACGAAAAAUGCAUCGUUUGAAUAUUCAGAUUUGUUCAUUUUUAUUAUUAACGUGAUUUUUUUUUUUUUUACAUCGUAAGGAAUUUUUUCUUAUCGUGUCAACACGUCACUGUACUAAUGUUUCCUACAUUUCCCACAAUGCUGUGCUGAUUGGUAGUGGUGAAGUGGGAUUUUGCUUUUGCUUUUAUCUCUAGCUAAAUGGAGCGAUGCAGCGGCGCUUUAUUUUGUCCAGAUCUCACCUUCAGUUCCGCUCAAACAAAUCAGCUUUCAGACUGAGAGUGCAGUGUUUUGCACCAAUGUGUUUGAUGGAUUUCUCAUUAAAAUUAUACUUUUUUUUCUUUUUUAGGAGCUGACGACAAAACCUGAUCGCUUUUUUGUUUGUUUGUUCUUUUCCUCCCAUUGACCGCCAGCGUAACAGCGCUAACAUCAACAUGGUCCUGUGACAUCAGUGAGCCGCCGACAUGUUCGCACCAGAAUCGCUGAAACACAUUGAAUAUUUAUACAUUUUUCUUUUACUGAAUGUUCUUUUGAGCUUUGGAUUUUUUUUUGUUAUUGAGUCCUGUGGAAUCUCGGUGGAAUCUCGGUGCACACCUCUACCACAAAACUGUGAUCGUCUCUUUUAAGUCACAACUUCUCACACUCAUCAUCCUGCAUGCUACCAUUACAGCUGCGGAGAGAAAUAACACUCCGUGCUGGAGCCGGUCAGAUCUUUCAGGAAAGAUUUUCCUCCUCGUGUGCUGCAGUGAAGAGAAACAGACAGUUGGAUCUCGUCGAGGUUUUAGGAUUGGACUCGACUCGACUCGACACGUUUUUGCAUCCAUUUCCUGUCCCGCAUCAUCAUGUGAACGAGCCGUUUGCUGAACAUUGCCGCUGCUGGUUAAGGGUUAAAAAAAAGUUCUAUUUUAAAAUAAAAGUAUAAAUGCAUGACUUUGCACAUUAAAGUAUUUUGUCUCA